Molecule: microRNA precursor, 80 nt
Filed under: Chaetura pelagica (chimney swift)
Lineage: Eukaryota; Metazoa; Chordata; Aves; Apodiformes; Apodidae
Description: mir-1791 microRNA precursor family
Rfam family: mir-1791 microRNA precursor family
Source: Rfam by way of RNAcentral
UACACCAUGUUGGGCUGCAUCAGUUGUGCCAUGUUAUGAAAGCUAACGCAGUGUGACUGGUGCAGGCUGACAAGAUGUGU